Mustela erminea (ermine) is the source of this 680-nucleotide long non-coding RNA. RefSeq lists it as uncharacterized. The transcript has 4 exons. The record is from RefSeq and is a predicted model, not a curated record. Lineage: Eukaryota; Metazoa; Chordata; Mammalia; Carnivora; Mustelidae.
CAGGGCACAUAGAAACAGUUCCUCCUCCGCCCUGGUCCCUGCCAACAAAGACCAAGCCAGCUGCAGGCAAUCACCAGGCAACCGGCUUCUAACCCGGCCUCCAGAAACCAACUUCCCUCCACCUGGUUGGAGCACAGGAUUUUAGCUUUUCUUAGGAUCACUUUACCAGCUGGCCAGCCAUGACCUGAGAAUAUGUGUCUCUUUCAGAAACAUGUCCGACCAACGUAAUCAGUUAAUGAAGUAACUUGGAAACCCAGACCAUGCAAAAGAGACGUGUAAAACGUGAAGAACAGAGUCAGUCAGCACUUGGGAAACACUCAACAAUGCACACCUGGUUUCCUAAGGUUUAAAAUGUAUAAUCAAAUGACACGAAAUAAUGAAGACACCACUGGGAAAGUAUCUGACUCCCAAACCAAAUAAUGGGGCAACUUGGAAAUCCAGACCACUUGGAACAGAUUUGUUAAAGUGCCAGGGACAGGAAUCCUACCCAGGUGAUGAUCAGUAAACAUUUAUUGAUACUGACCAUGUUUUCUUCAGGUUUAAAAUAAAACAUCUGGAAGGAUUACAGGAUCACUUGGGGUUCUUCCUGAAAUAUUACGAUAUCAAUGUAAGAAUUCAAAACACCACAACUCUGGGGCACCUGGGUGGCUCAGUUGGUUAAGUGUCUGCCUUCAGCUCAG